This 58-nucleotide transfer RNA is filed under the name Salmo salar (Atlantic salmon). It matches the Rfam family "tRNA", at positions 8 to 63 of the family's 71-position model. Rfam says of the family: Transfer RNA (tRNA) molecules are approximately 80 nucleotides in length. Their secondary structure includes four short double-helical elements and three loops (D, anti-codon, and T loops). Further hydrogen bonds mediate the characteristic L-shaped molecular structure. tRNAs have two regions of fundamental functional importance: the anti-codon, which is responsible for specific mRNA codon recognition, and the 3' end, to which the tRNAs corresponding amino acid is attached (by aminoacyl-tRNA synthetases). tRNAs cope with the degeneracy of the genetic code in two manners: having more than one tRNA (with a specific anti-codon) for a particular amino acid; and 'wobble' base-pairing, i.e. permitting non-standard base-pairing at the 3rd anti-codon position. Lineage: Eukaryota; Metazoa; Chordata; Actinopteri; Salmoniformes; Salmonidae. RNAcentral also lists the same sequence under 1 other name. The record is from Rfam by way of RNAcentral.
UGGCUCAGUUGGCAGAGCAUGGUGUUUGCAAUGCCAGGGUUGUGGGUUCGAUUCCCAC